Lotus japonicus is the source of this 1299-nucleotide long non-coding RNA. RefSeq lists it as uncharacterized. The record is from RefSeq and is a predicted model, not a curated record. The transcript is spliced from 5 exons. Lineage: Eukaryota; Viridiplantae; Streptophyta; Magnoliopsida; Fabales; Fabaceae.
CCCCUACGAUGACGAACCCCAAUUUGCAGUCCUUCCUUCUGCACUCUUCACGCCGCCUCCUCUUUUCCCAUCACCUUCUCUCUUCCCCUCGAACCCACCACCACCGACCACCUCCACUCGGCUCCAUUCAGCGCUGCCACCACCUCCUCUUUUCCCAUCACCACCGCACCAGCUCCUCUCUUCCCCCUCAAACCCACCACCACCGACCACCUCUUCACCGUCAGAAUUGUGCCGCCACCUUCAACACAACCUAAAUUGAGCACCACCGCCAUCGCUCCCUUUCUUUCCAGAUCGUACCGCCGCCGCCGCCCUUCCGUCCUUUUUCCCCGAUUUUUCGCUUCCUCUAUAUCAAUGUCACCGAUUUCCCCCGUUUCCAGCGGUUACCGACGUCACUCAGCGCAAAAGACUUACUUUCCACGACCCUCGGUGUGCUCCCACGGAUUCUCCGGUGAUGGCCAUCACAUCUCCCUGUCUACUAUUACGUGGAUAUGUGUAUUCUGGAGCUCUACUUUUGUAAAUCAAGGUUCUGCUGGAGCAACUAAUAAAACUAUGCAGAAGGGGCAAUGGUAAUUGUGCAGGAAGGUCAUUGGCUGGUUAAUUUGGUUUCUGAGUAUCUCUUUUUGGAGAAAAGUUAGGCUAAGGAUGAAAGCACAUUAAAGUCAUGCGCCUCCAACGGCUGAGUGAUUUCCCGCUUUCAUUUUGGUUGGCUCUAUUUGUAGAAGGAACACGCUUUACACAGGCCAAACUCUUAGUUGCACAGGAAUAUACAACCUCCACUGGAUUGCCUGUUCCGAGAAAUGUUUUGAUUCCUACAACUAAGAAUUGCUGGACGUCAAUGGCACCUAAAUAACCUGAAAACAAUAAGGACCCUUCGAUGGUGUGGGUUGAUGCGGUGAUAGUUGAUUUGGUGGUUGUGGCUCGGUGGUGAUGGGAAGAGAGGAAGUGGUGGCGGCGCUGAAUGGAAGAGUGGAGGAGGUGGCGGCGCGAUUAGGGAGAAUGAGGUGGUGGCCGCGCGACUUAGAGUUUUGGGAGAAGAAGGAGAGAGAGAGAGAGCUGAGUGUUUCUGUACCGGUUGUUAGGGUUCUCUGUUGGUGUAUGUUUUAUAAUUAUAUGGGUUCUGAAAACCCUAAAACUUUGGCAGCAAAAUUAAUUGCUUUAUGUAAUUUGCUCUACUAUUUCUCGCGAAUUAUUUGCUUUAUUGUUUUUCUGAAUUUUUCUAUUUUUUCAAAGCUUGAUACAAUUUACUUAUUGAAGUUGGGACUAUAUAAUGUGGGGUGUGUGUGUUGUUGGUAUAGGUCA